This 494-nucleotide ribosomal RNA is filed under the name uncultured bacterium. RNAcentral describes it as "partial 16S ribosomal RNA". It matches the Rfam family "Bacterial small subunit ribosomal RNA", at positions 28 to 507 of the family's 1533-position model. The record is from RNAcentral.
GACGAACGCUGGCGGCGCGCUUAACACAUGCAAGUCGAACGGAAAGGCCUGCUUUCCCUUGUGGAUUGCGGGUACUCGAGUGGCUAACGGGUGAGUAACACGUGAGUGAUCUGCCCCCAACUUGGGUAUAAGCCUGGGAAACUGGGUCUAAUUCCCGAUAGGACUGCAGGGUGGUGCCUGUGGUGGAAAACGAUUUUCUAGUGGUUGGGGAUGAGCUCGCGGCCUAUCAGCUUGUUGGUGGGGUAAUGGCCUACCAAGGCGGCGACGGGUAGCCGGCCUGAGAGGGUGGACGGCCACAUUGGGACUGAGAUACGGCCCAGACGCCUACGGGAGGCAGCAGUGGGGAAGAUUGCACAAUGGGCGGAAGCCUGAUGCAGCGACGCCGCGUGGGGGAUGACGGCCUUCGGGUGGUAAACUCCUUUCGACCGCGAGGAAGCCACCUGGUUGGAAGGGUGGUGACGGUAGUGGUAGAAGAAGCACCGGCUAACUACGUG